Cercocebus atys (sooty mangabey) is the source of this 3224-nucleotide long non-coding RNA. RefSeq lists it as uncharacterized. The transcript has 4 exons. Lineage: Eukaryota; Metazoa; Chordata; Mammalia; Primates; Cercopithecidae. The record is from RefSeq and is a predicted model, not a curated record.
UAAGCAGAGCCAGUCAUUUCUUAGUAUGCAUUGAACUCAUGCCAAACUAUUGUUUCUCACUAUUAUUGUCUAAAAGACAACGUGUACUAGAAAUGUGAGACAGGAAAUGUCCAUCUGACCUUAUUACGGUAGAAGGAAUUUUCCAGAGUCCAUAUGCUGAUGUAAUUAUUUUAAGAAUUAUUUUUAUUUUUUAAAGUGGUAGAUCCUUAGAACAAUUGUCUUUGCUGUCACCGGCAUAGCACAUGGCUUAUCAUCUUCCGUUUGGAGGAACAGAGCACUGUAAUUGCUGCAAUCAGGUUUUAUAUUAUUUUCUAAUUAGGUUUUAGGAGUUCUUUUUAUUUGCUUGGUUUAUUUGUGUGUGUGAAAUGUAACAUAUAUAUUUGUAUGUCUUAAGCUUUACUUCCUUUGGAAGGUCCUUAAUUUAUUUUACAUAGAAAAUUUUUCCUUUUUCCACAAAGCUAUGACCAUAUAACUUACUUCCUUCUGUUCCAGUAUUGUACUUUAUGUAAUUUCCUGUAAACAGCAGCAAACAACUUCAGUAUACACUGGCUGUUUGUUCAGUGUUCUUGCAGUACUUACAAUGGACAUUUCUCAGCAUAAUUAAUCUCUUUUUAAAAUUUGGCCCUAUUCUUGUCAGCACCAAUACUAUACUUUGAAAUGAAUGGAAAUGCAGUAGUCAUUGAAGGGAUACGAAUUAAAUCUUAAAAUGGGUCUAGGGAUGGGGUGACAAGGGAAAGAACUCUCACAAACCUGGUGCUUUGUUUCUCCUUUGUGAAGUGAAAAGCAAUGAGCUCUACUCUGUGAAAGAAAGGAAAUGGUGCUGACGAGCUUUUCCCCAACCACUGUCCACCUGUGGUUCAGAACUAGCAGAAGUCAACUAGUUAUUUAGUUUGCUAGCACAUUAAGUGUGACAUUUGAUUAUAUGAGCAUCAAGAACUAGAUAUUCAGGCAUAAUUCACGUCCUUUUUCUCUUUCAUUAUAAUGAGUAACUUUAAUUCUUGUUUUAUAUUUGCUUGAAUCCAUGAUCUGUUUUUAAUCCUGUAUCUUCUGUGUCUGACAGGCUCCAUUUCAUCCAUUUUUUAGUUUUUUUUCCAUAUAGUUUUACAAAAUCCUUUUUUUUUUUCAUAUAGUUUUACAAAAUCCCGCAAAUCCUUUUCUCACUAGUAGUACUAUUUCUAAUGCCAAUUUAAACCUUUUUAUUCCAGCAUACUUUGUGCAGAAUGAAUUAAGUGUAUCUAUAGAGAAUGAAUGAUUGGUAUUCAGCCAAGCUUUGCCUGUGUCUUUCCAUGACCAAAAACAAGUCAGGUGAAAAGGGAAAAAAAAAUCAGUGAGUCUGUUGUUUCAUCUUUAUGACUCUGAACAAUCUAUUUGUAUAUUUUGGGAAAAUUUUUUCUCAUUGAAUCACUGUGUAUAUUUAUCAUGUAUUCAACUGAUAGUUGAAUUUUCCUUAUAUAGCUAUAUGGUAAAAAGUUUUGAAUGAGAAACUACUUUUUAUAGCCAUUUCAGAAACAAGUGAGGUCAGUGAGCAUCUUGUUUUAGGAAGAGGGGGAUGGUGGGGACAUUGGACUGAAAGGAAGUCCUAUGUCAGAGGGCUCUGUGCACAUUUUCCUGAAGUACCUCAGCUAUGCUUAAAUGUAAUCUGUUAUUUUAACCAAUCAUAAUGGUUGCAUUUUGCUUUUUCUCAUAUAAAUUAUAAAUGUGAUGACUUAUAAAUAUGGCAAAAGUUUAUUUUUCAGGAUGCCUCUCCCUUCUCUAACUCGAACAGACUAAAUUCUGUUUCCAAAGACUUCAAAAGUGACCAGAUUAUUGUGAAAGGAGAAACACUGUUUUCGAGGGCUGCUGAUAAUGCCUGGUAGCCAGAAGAAACAGCCUGAAUCAUUCAAAGGUUUUCCACCUGGCAAAGAAAUGUGGUAAAAAUCUUGCCCAGAUCUGCAUGUGCUAAGCAUCCAGGUAAGUUGGAGCAUCAUAUUAAUGGCACACAGUGAAGAAACGAAAGGUAAAACUAUAAUGCAAUGUAUUUCUGUGCCUCAUGUUGAAGCUUCAUAUUCAAAGGGUAAAGGGACUUCAUUCUUCUUCUCCUUCCCCAGCUUGUCUAUUGCAGUUUUGUAUUGAAAUGUUCUCUGGAUUCAUAACAUAUUUAGGGACUACAUAAAGAAGAAAGACUUUGGAAUCAAAGGCAAGGUUCACCUAACACAACUUCUGUUAGAAGAAACUAGGAAAUCAGGAUCUAUCAAAGGCCCAGUGUUAAUCGGGACUGGUUUCUCACUGUGUUUUGAUUAGAAGAAUAUUGAACAGCAAACAUUUAAGGAUUUGUUUGACUGAAUAUCGACUUAAAGUUCUGAUCUCUAGUAAUGUCAGACGUAUUGCCUUGGUAAAUUGUACAGAAUCAAGUGUAAUUACUAUAUCAAAAAUCCACAGAAUGUGAAAGUAUAAAGGAAAACUAUCAGGAAACCAGCAGUUGUGAUUUUCUUCAGCAAUUCUUAAUUUGCUCAGCUAAAAACUUUGGAGUUAGACAUAUGGACAGCCCACCCCAAGGAAAGAAUCAGAGGAGAAGGGACACAAGACCCCAGAAACACACGAGGCACCUUAAUAUGCAUGCUGCAUCUCUCUAAAAUGGUGGAACCUGUUCAUCUGCUCUGGAGGGUGGCUGCCUGGGGCAGACAUACGAGUUGUUCUUACGCUGUGCUUCCUGUGUUCCACAGUAAUUGAAUUGUAGCUGCAAUGCAGUUACCAACCAGGAAUACAAUUUCUCAGCCCCACAUCUUGCACCUACAGCUAAGUGUGGCCAUAGGACCAGUUUUCAUCAAUUAAGUGUGAAUAGAGACAAAGUGUACCACCUUCAAUUGGAGACUUUGAAGAAGCAGGGCAGCCAUCCCUUGUUCUCUUUCCCCUUCCGCUGGUGGGAUACAGAUGACAAUAAGGCCUUGGGUUUUGAGGUAGCCACAAGAUGCAAAAUGCCUCAGACCUGAGUCACAACGUGGAAGAGAGAAGCCUACUUACCUGGAACACCCAGCCUGGUCUAUAGAUGACCAAGAAAUAAACUUCUAUUAUGUUUGAACAUUACAGAGUUUGUUCUGUGAUAGUAGUUUAUCUCAUCCUGACUAAACUGUUGCAUAUCUUUCAAGAUAGGCCCUCCUUCCCUGAAAGUGACUUCUUCAUACAUGUAAUCUAUAUUUCAAUUCAUAUUCUCCAAAGCAUAUCUAUAUCUAUUCAACUAUUUUCAU